This 112-nucleotide ribosomal RNA is filed under the name uncultured bacterium. Its description in RNAcentral is "partial 16S ribosomal RNA". It matches the Rfam family "Bacterial small subunit ribosomal RNA", at positions 1373 to 1482 of the family's 1533-position model. The record is from RNAcentral.
CCCGGGUCUUGUACACACCGCCCGUCACACCACGAGAGUUUACAACACCCGAAGUCGGUGGGGUAAUCCGCAAGGGAGCCAGCCGCCGAAGGUGGGGUAGAUGAUUGGGGUG